RNAcentral lists this unclassified non-coding RNA (422 nucleotides) under Hevea brasiliensis (rubber tree). The record is from RNAcentral. Lineage: Eukaryota; Viridiplantae; Streptophyta; Magnoliopsida; Malpighiales; Euphorbiaceae.
CUCUCUCUCUCUCUCUCUCUAUGAGAAAACUGCCUUCUUAGUUGAUCAGUUUAACAUGCAUCAGCAUUAUUCUUUGGGAACUUGAUUUUCAUAGAAUUGAUGCAUUUUUUUCUAAUGAUUUUCUAGGUUUUUAUAAAUUGUUUUUCUAGCUGUUUAUAAAUUAUUUCAUGAAUCCAAAAAAUGUCUAUAUGGUUUCUCGUCCUACUGAUCUUAUGUUGCUAAUGCGUCAUUGAACAAGGUCUGAAAUACUUUUUUGAGAAUACUUUACCUGAAUGAGUAAUAUUGAAUACUCUUAUGGAUGAAGGUUCUACAAGUUUCUGUGCAGACACUGAUUGUAUGAACCUGAUUGUUGAACUGGGUAUUUCUUGCUUAUAAUCUUGAUUGUUAUAUUUGCUUGUGUUAUAUUUCUGCACGCACAAAAA